This is a long non-coding RNA of Acinonyx jubatus (cheetah), 3662 nucleotides long. RefSeq lists it as uncharacterized. NCBI's taxonomy places the organism in Eukaryota, Metazoa, Chordata, Mammalia, Carnivora, Felidae. The record is from RefSeq and is a predicted model, not a curated record. The transcript is spliced from 3 exons.
AGCUGCCCCAUUUGCCUGCGGCACGAGAGCACGGUUUCCCGCGAUUCCAGAGCUCUGCGCUGAGAAAAAGGGAACCUCCGCCGUGCAUGCUGAAGUCUCGGUCUUCAGACUUGACUUGACUGAGAUGCUUGACUGCCCUACGUCUGGAAGGAGGCCGACAGCCUGUUGUCAGAAGCAGGACCUGAGGUGAUUUCAGCAAGGCAGGACCGGUGUCUCCUGGAAUUGGGUGCGGUCUCUACAGGAGACUAGUGCUCACCGCUCCUAGCUUGUAUACAUACGGACAGCCUUCUACUCGCACCGUGAGUCCUCUUAGUUGUCCUGGCAAAUAGAAACUACUUGACCAAAAGCAAACGGCAGGGCCAUGGCGGGCAGAACCAUCAAGCCUCCCUGGUGGGUACCUCAGGAACAGCAUUCAGAAGCUGCUGAGACCACUGGAGAGACUAGGAGCAGGAGUUGAGUUGGAGGUAGGGAGUAGAGUUGGGGAAGGGGUUGUAUACAAACAAGGGCAGGUCCAAAGAAGACUAAAAAAGUACACUGGAAUGCGUCUCGAGUAUUGAGGACACUGAAAGUAGAAGAUGAACCUCAAAAACAGCAUGCUGAGUGAUAAAAAGAAUACAUACUUGUUGCGACCGGCGCAACAAACACCGAGAUCAGGGUCCUGAGGGUAGGGGAAUGUAAGAAAAAAAGAGAGAAGAGAAGACAGUUUGGGAACAGGAGGGUCCCAUGGGCUGAUGGCCCAAGUGACGGCUUUAUUGUUGCUGUACACAAUCUUUUAUAAUAUAAGACUCUUAUGGAUCAGGUCAUUCUAAGAAUGAACAGGUUUCACAUGAUCACUGCCAGCCAAAACAUUUAGUUCUGUGUACCUUGUGAACUUUCUGAACGGGUCACAAGACCUUGUUGAUAGAUUGCUAGCAAAACACAGUUCCCAUGUUUGUUUCUAUUUGACUCGGGGUAGAAAAAGGGGAGGUAACAUUACUGCCAACACCCGCAGACCACAGGCUUCAGGAAUUAACUUUCUCAGCCUUGACAAGGCUUUCGUAUGCCCUUGAAAGUGGGGGAAUGGGAGGGGGAACCACCGGGUUGGCUGAGUCAACAGGGAACCGUUGCUCGACCCGGUCUCAGCCUGGCACCGGGGCCCGGCCUCCCACACAUACUCUGUGGUUCCAUCCAUGUCAGUGUCUAGAACAGGCAAAACUAAGCCAUAGUGACAAAACUAGAUCAUUGAUUGCCUGGGACAGGAGGUGGUGUGGGGGAUUGGCUGCAAACGGGCACAAGAAGACAUUUUGGAGCAACAGAAAUGUUCUUUGCUCUUGAACAGGGUAGUGGUUGCCUGGGUGCAUCCAACUUGUCAAAACUCAUCAAACUUGAAAUGGAUCCAUUGUAUUAUUUACAAAUUACACCUUAAGACUUUUGGUUUUAAAAACAAAUCAUUCCAAUUUUAGUGUCUGAAGUGCAAUUAAUUAGUAUUAGCCUUGGAAAGUUCUUUUAGAAAACUAUCACUCAUGUAGUGAACAGUCCCUCCAUAUUUGUUUUUUUUCUUCCGUGAAAUUCAUGCCCUAUUAAACUCCAUACUUUCAAAUAAAAAUAGGCUCUAUAAGAGCUCAGUUUUUUAUACAAGAAUAUUUGUAAAUACAUCCUCCCUAUAGAUUUAUCAAAUAUGACUCCAUUAGUAAUUACCUAAUGCAUACAAAAUUAUUUUUUAUUUUAAGCUGUUUCAAAAUUUUACAUAUACGUAUUUUGUGCAUCAUUUGCAUUUUACCAUUUGUGUAAUUUUACCAUGUAUAGCUUUUGCAAAAAAUGUAGAACAACUUAAAAAUAGAUUUGAAGAAAAAUAUGUAAAGAUGUUAGAAGUAGUUAAUUCCAGGUGGUGGCAUAAGGAUGAAUGCUUAUCUUCUUCUGUUUGUUUGUUUGUUUGUUUGAUGCCCGAGGUGGGGCUUGAUCUCAAGACCCUGAGACCAAGAGCCGCAUGCUCUAUGGACUAAGCCAGCCAGGCCCCUAUUUUUCAUAGUUUUAAACUUAAAAAAUGAGUGUCCUGGAAGUGAAAGAACAGAAUAGAUAUGAAAGAGGUGUGGGGUAGGUGAGAGGAAAACAUGAAGGGGAGGGAAAACCUGGUUCUGGCAGGAAGUGUGUUUAAGUUGGAGAGUUUGAGGGAGCACUUGUGGGCAUAAGAAGGGUUUGCGGGAGGCAGUGGGGUCAUAAGGAUGUUCGGAUAGUUUGAUGCGUGUUGCAUGGUUCCUCCUAGGUGUUUUUUCAAAAGAAUUUAUAUAGACGUAAAUUUCUUGUCCAGCAUUUUUAGCGGUUUUUAAAAGUAGGAGGCGUAUAAACACUGUGGUUCUCAGCCUAUCUUCUGGAGCCGGGAUGUCUGCAGUCCAAAUUCCUGCUUUCCAAUCCCACUCACUGGCUGAGUGGACAGGUUGCUUAAUCUUUCCGGAUCUCAGUUUUCUUACAUGGAAAAUGAGGACAGUGAUAUGAGGUGGGCCUGUUGAAAGGAUUCAAUGGUUGGCUAUGCCUGGGACAGGGUAUCACCAAUAUCCCCUCAAGAUCCCCAGACCUCCUCCUAACCUCUUGCCACGGCUACGCUAUAUGAUGUUUAAAUAUGUGCAGCUGUGCAGCAGCAUUAUAUUAAAAGUGUUUUGUUCUUGGGGUGCCUGGGUGGCUCAGUCGGUUAAGUGUCUGUCUUCAUUCGGGUCAUGAUCUCGCGGUUCUGAGUGAGCCCAGCGUCGGGCUCUGUGAUGACAGCUCAGAGCCAGGAGCCUGCUCCAGAUCUGUGUCUCCCUUUCUCUCUGCCCCUCACCUGCAGGCACUGUGUCUCUCUCUCAAAAAUGAAUAAAUAUUAAAGGAAUUUUAUUUUAAAAAAGUGUUUUUUUCUUUUGCUCUUAAUUAGAAAUGCUCUAGGCUAAAAUGAUACAUUAAUUAACUCAGUUUAAUAUCAUUGGAAGAACGUAAAGAUAACAGUAGGUCUUAAAAUUGCAAAUUGACUCGACACAUAAUGGAGAAAUGCAUGUGGAAUAUAAAAAUAUAAAAUACCUAAAAACCUUUACCCCAAAAUAUUGUAAGAAUAAUUAAGUCACUAUGAGUUCCAGACUUCUAAGACUUACUCUCCAUUUACAAAUCUUAUAGGAUCUCUUUAAUGUACUGAAACACAUAAUUUCAUAUUGUAUAAACUCCUUAAAUACUAUUGGAAUUGAAGUGCGCUUAUUGGGCCAGUAAAACCAAUAUAGGAAAUUUAGGUGGCUAAGUGUCACCAGGAAUUUGAAGAGAAAAUAAAGCCAAGACCUGUAUAAACUAGAAUAUAUCUACCAAUAUUUUCUAUAUUACUAGAAAACCUGGAAGACAACAUAAAACAGUUUUUAGGCCACAACUAUUAAACCAGUCGGAUGCACACAAAAAGUCCUCUUUAGAAAUAUGACAUGAUAUAAACAUGUUCUAUGCCAUUAUAUGUAAAUUAUUAAAAUCCUUUAAAGUGUUUAAACGUAUUCGAGAUUCAUCCUUUCUAUCCACUUGAUGUUUUCCCCUUGUACCUGAGUGCACGGAGAGCAAUUUAUCUACAUCUAAACAGGGUUUUUUGUUUGUCUGUUUUCCCGGGUUCCAGAUUCAGCAAGAAAGGAAGUAGGAGGGGUGCCUGGCUGGCUCAAUCCGUAGAGCAUGGGACUCUUGAUCUU